UCAUCCCUGGCUCAUUAGCGAGCAUGUGUUCC
Molecule: non-coding RNA, 32 nt
Filed under: Homo sapiens (human)
Lineage: Eukaryota; Metazoa; Chordata; Mammalia; Primates; Hominidae
Source: RNAcentral